GGUAGAGGAGCGUCGUGUAAGCCGAUGAAGGUGGAUUGAGAAGUCCGCUGGAGGUAUCACGAGUGCGAAUGCUGACAUGAGUAACGACAAGGGGAGUGAAAAACUCCCCCGCCGGAAGACCAAGGGUUUCUGUUCGACGCUAAUCGGAGCAGAGUGAGUCGGCCCCUAAGGCGAGGCCGAAAGGCGUAGUCGAUGGGAAACGGGUCAAUAUUCCCGUACCUCACUGUAUUGCGAUGGGGGGACGAAGAAGGCUAGGUGGGCCAGGCGUUGGUUGUCCUGGUGAAAGCUUGUAGGCCAGCGAUUCAGGUAAAUCCGGAUCGCUCUCUUCAGUGAGAAGGCCGAGAAGCGAGACGAACACCCCACGGGGUGGAAGUCAUCGAUGCCACGCUUCCAGGAAAAGCCUCUAAGCUUCAGAUACAGUGGGACCGUACCCCAAACCGACACAGGUGGUCAGGUAGAGAAUACCCAGGCGCUUGAGAGAACUCGGGUGAAGGAACUAGGCAAAAUGGUGCCGUAACUUCGGGAGAAGGCACGCCGGCGUAGGGUGAAGGCACUUGCUGCUGGAGCUCGAACCGGUCGAAGAUACCAGGUGGCUGCAACUGUUUAUUAAAAACACAGCACUCUGCAAACGCGUAAGCGGACGUAUAGGGUGUGACGCCUGCCCGGUGCCGGAAGGUUAAGUGAUGGUGUUAGCCCUCGGGCGAAGCUCUUGAUCGAAGCCCCGGUAAACGGCGGCCGUAACUAUAACGGUCCUAAGGUAGCGAAAUUCCUUGUCGGGUAAGUUCCGACCUGCACGAAUGGCGUAAUGAUGGCCACGCUGUCUCCACCCGAGACUCAGUGAAAUUGAAAUCGCAGUGAAGAUGCUGUGUACCCGCGGCUAGACGGAAAGACCCCGUGAACCUUUACUAUAGCUUCACACUGGACGCUGAUGUUGCUUGUGUAGGAUAGCUGGGAGGCUAGGAACCCCGGACGCCAGUUCGGGCGGAGCCAACCUUGAAAUACCAGCCUGGCAUCAUUGGCGUUCUAACUCAGGUCCGUGAUCCGGAUCGAGGACAGUGUGUGGUGGGUAGUUUGACUGGGGCGGUCUCCUCCCAAAGAGUAACGGAGGAGCACGAAGGUACCCUCAGCACGGUCGGAAAUCGUGCAUUGAGUGCAAGAGCAUAAGGGUGCUUAACUGCGAGACAGACACGUCGAGCAGAUACGAAAGUAGGUUCUAGUGAUCCGGUGGUUCUGUAUGGAAGGGCCAUCGCUCAACGGAUAAAAGGUACUCCGGGGAUAACAGGCUGAUACCGCCCAAGAGUUCACAUCGACGGCGGUGUUUGGCACCUCGAUGUCGGCUCAUCACAUCCUGGGGCUGAAGUCGGUCCCAAGGGUAUGGCUGUUCGCCAUUUAAAGUGGUACGCGAGCUGGGUUUAGAACGUCGUGAGACAGUUCGGUCCCUAUCUGCCGUGGGCGUUGGAUGUUUGAGAAGAGCUGCUCCUAGUACGAGAGGACCGGAGUGGACGCACCUCUGGUGUUCCGGUUGUCACGCCAGUGGCACUGCCGGGUAGCUACGUGCGGACGGGAUAACCGCUGAAGGCAUCUAAGCGGGAAGCCCCCUUCAAGAUGAGACAUCCCCGAGGCCUCGAGCCUCCUGAAGGGCCCAGCAAGACCAGCUGGUUGAUAGGCCGGGUGUGGAAGCGCUGCAAGGCGUUGAGCUAACCGGUACUAAUGGCCCGUGAGGCUUGACCAUAUAACCCCAAGGGGU
This 1747-nucleotide ribosomal RNA is filed under the name Billgrantia kenyensis. Its description in RNAcentral is "partial 23S ribosomal RNA". It matches the Rfam family "Bacterial large subunit ribosomal RNA", at positions 1227 to 2925 of the family's 2925-position model. Lineage: Bacteria; Pseudomonadati; Pseudomonadota; Gammaproteobacteria; Oceanospirillales; Halomonadaceae. The record is from RNAcentral.